This 406-nucleotide ribosomal RNA is filed under the name uncultured bacterium. RNAcentral describes it as "partial 16S ribosomal RNA". It matches the Rfam family "Bacterial small subunit ribosomal RNA", at positions 29 to 526 of the family's 1533-position model. The record is from RNAcentral.
AUUGAACGCUGGCGGCAGGCUUAACACAUGCAAGUCGAGCGAGCGGCGGACGGGUGAGUAAUGUCUGGGAAACUGCCCGAUGGAGGGGGAUAACUACAGGAAACGGUAGCUAAUACCGCACACCAUCAGAUGUGCGCAGAUGGGAGUAGCUAGUGGGUGGGGUAACGGCUCACCUAGGCGACGAUCCCUAGCUGGUCUGAGAGGAUGACCAGCCACACUGGGACUGAGACACGGCCCAGACUCCUACGGGAGGCAGCAGUGGGGAAUAUUGCACAAUGGGGGCAAGCCUGAUGCAGCCAUGCCGCGUGUGUGAAGAAGGCCUUCGGGUUGUAAAGCACUUUCAGCGGGGAGGCGUUACCCGCAGAAGAAGCACCGGCUAACUCCGUGCCAGCAGCCGCGGUAAUUC